RNAcentral lists this ribosomal RNA (970 nucleotides) under uncultured marine bacterium. RNAcentral describes it as "bacterial SSU rRNA". It matches the Rfam family "Bacterial small subunit ribosomal RNA", at positions 56 to 1070 of the family's 1533-position model. The record is from RNAcentral.
UGCAAGUCGAACGCAGUAGCAAUACUGAGUGGCAAACGGGUGAGUAUAAUGUGGGAAUCUGCCUUUUGGUUCAGAAUAACACGGGGAAACUUGUGCUAAUACUGGAUAAGCCCUUACGGGGAAAGUUUUAACGCCGAAAGAUGAGCCUGCACUUGAUUAGCUAGUUGGUAGGGUAAAGGCUUACCAAGGCAAUGAUCAAUAGCUGUUCUUAGAGGAAGACCAGCCACAUUGGGACUGAGACACGGCCCAGACUCCUACGGGAGGCAGCAGUGGGGAAUCUUGCACAAUGGGGGAAACCCUGAUGCAGCGAUGCCGCGUGAGUGAAGAAGGCCCUUGGGUUGUAAAACUCUUUCGUCGGGGAAGAAAAUGACUGUACCCGAAUAAGAAGGUCCGGCUAACUUCGUGCCAGCAGCCGCGGUAAUACGAAGGGACCUAGCGUAGUUCGGAAUUACUGGGCUUAAAGAGCUCGUAGGUGGUUAAAAAAGUUGAUGGUGAAAUCCCAAGGCUCAACCUUGGAACUGCCAUCAAAACUUUUUAGCUAGAGUGUGAUAGAGGUAAGUGGAAUUUCUAGUGUAGAGGUGAAAUUCGUAGAUAUUAGAAAGAACACCAAAUGCGAAGGCAACUUACUGGGUCACUACUGACACUGAGGAGCGAAAGCAUGGGUAGCGAAGAGGAUUAGAUACCCUCGUAGUCCAUGCCGUAAACGAUGUGUGCUAGACGUUGGAAAUAUAUUUUCCAGUGUCGCAGCGAAAGCAUUAAGCACACCGCCUGGGGAGUACGACCGCAAGGUUAAAACUCAAAUGAAUUGACGGGGACCCGCACAAGCAGUGGAGCAUGUGGUUUAAUUCGAAGAUACGCGCAGAACCUUACCAACACUUGACAUGUUCGUCGCGAAACUAAGAGAUUAGUUUCUUCAGUUCGGCUGGACGAAACACAGGUGCUGCAUGGCUGUCGUCAGCUCGUGUCGUGA